This 714-nucleotide ribosomal RNA is filed under the name Citrobacter sp. enrichment culture clone SRC_NBA2. RNAcentral's name for it is "bacterial SSU rRNA". It matches the Rfam family "Bacterial small subunit ribosomal RNA", at positions 8 to 713 of the family's 1533-position model. The record is from RNAcentral. Lineage: Bacteria; Pseudomonadati; Pseudomonadota; Gammaproteobacteria; Enterobacterales; Enterobacteriaceae.
AGAGUUUGAUCAUGGCUCAGAUUGAACGCUGGCGGCAGGCCUAACACAUGCAAGUCGAACGGUAGCACAGAGAGCUUGCUCUCGGGUGACGAGUGGCGGACGGGUGAGUAAUGUCUGGGAAACUGCCCGAUGGAGGGGGAUAACUACUGGAAACGGUAGCUAAUACCGCAUAAUGUCGCAAGACCAAAGAGGGGGACCUUCGGGCCUCUUGCCAUCGGAUGUGCCCAGAUGGGAUUAGCUUGUAGGUGGGGUAACGGCUCACCUAGGCGACGAUCCCUAGCUGGUCUGAGAGGAUGACCAGCCACACUGGAACUGAGACACGGUCCAGACUCCUACGGGAGGCAGCAGUGGGGAAUAUUGCACAAUGGGCGCAAGCCUGAUGCAGCCAUGCUGCGUGUAUGAAGAAGGCCUUCGGGUUGUAAAGUACUUUCAGCGAGGAGGAAGGCGUUGUGGUUAAUAACCACAGCGAUUGACGUUACUCGCAGAAGAAGCACCGGCUAACUCCGUGCCAGCAGCCGCGGUAAUACGGAGGGUGCAAGCGUUAAUCGGAAUUACUGGGCGUAAAGCGCACGCAGGCGGUCUGUCAAGUCGGAUGUGAAAUCCCCGGGCUCAACCUGGGAACUGCAUCCGAAACUGGCAGGCUAGAGUCUUGUAGAGGGGGGUAGAAUUCCAGGUGUAGCGGUGAAAUGCGUAGAGAUCUGGAGGAAUACCGGU